GAUGAAGAACGCAGCGAAAUGCGAUAAGUAAUGUGAAUUGCAGAAUUCAGUGAAUCAUCGAAUCUUUGAACGCACAUUGCGCCCCUUGGUAUUACGAGGGGCAUGCCCGUUCGAGCGUCAUUAUACCCCUCAAGCCUAGCUUGGUGUUGGGGCCUGCUGUUACCGGCAGCCCUUAAAAUCAGUGGCGGUGCCAUCUGGCUCUAAGCGUAGUAAUACUUCUCGCUACAGGGUCCCGGUGGAUGCUUGCCAUCAACCCCUAAUUUUCUAUGGUUGACCUCGGAUCGGGUAGGGAUACCCGCUGAACUUAAGCAUAUCAAUAAGCGGAGGA
RNAcentral lists this unclassified non-coding RNA (328 nucleotides) under soil metagenome. RNAcentral describes it as "partial contains 5.8S ribosomal RNA, internal transcribed spacer 2, and large subunit ribosomal RNA". The stretch from base 1 to 120 matches the Rfam family "5.8S ribosomal RNA", at positions 35 to 154 of the family's 154-position model. The record is from RNAcentral.